This 254-nucleotide ribosomal RNA is filed under the name uncultured bacterium. RNAcentral's name for it is "partial 16S ribosomal RNA". It matches the Rfam family "Bacterial small subunit ribosomal RNA", at positions 524 to 776 of the family's 1533-position model. The record is from RNAcentral.
GACGUAGGGGGCAAGCGUUGUCCGGAAUCAUUGGGCGUAAAGAGCUCGUAGGCGGUUCGGCAAGUCACGUGUGAAAUCUCCACGCUUAACGUGGAGGCGCCACGUGAAACUGCCGUGACUCGAGUCCGGUAGGGGAGUGUGGAAUUCCCGGUGUAGCGGUGAAAUGCGCAGAUAUCGGGAGGAACACCAGUAGCGAAGGCGGCACUCUGGGCCGGUACUGACGCUGAGGAGCGAAAGCGUGGGGAGCGAACAGG